RNAcentral lists this ribosomal RNA (465 nucleotides) under uncultured bacterium. RNAcentral describes it as "partial 16S ribosomal RNA". It matches the Rfam family "Bacterial small subunit ribosomal RNA", at positions 338 to 795 of the family's 1533-position model. The record is from RNAcentral.
CCUACGGGGGGCAGCAGUGGGGAAUAUUGCGCAAUGGGCGAAAGCCUGACGCAGCGACGCCGCGUGAGGGAUGAAGGUCUUCGGAUCGUAAACCUCUGUCAGCAGGGAAGUACGGUCACUGUGCUAAUCAGCAGUGAAUUGACGGUACCUGCAAAGGAAGCACCGGCUAACUCCGUGCCAGCAGCCUCGGUAAUACGGAGGGUGCGAGCGUUAAUCGGAUUUACUGGGAGUAAAGCGCUCGUAGGCGGUAUGUCAAGUCAAGGGUGAAAUCCCCGGGCCCAACGUGGGAACUGCCUUUGAAACUGGCAGACUGGAGUGCGGGAGGGGUAAGCGGAAUUCCUAGUGUAGCGGUGAAAGGCGUAGAUAUUAGGAGGAACACCGGUGGCGAAGGCGGCUUACUGGACCGUAACUGACGUUGAGGCUCGAAAGCGUGGGGAGCAAACAGGAUGAGAUACCCCAGUAGUC